Molecule: long non-coding RNA, 1313 nt
Filed under: Phasianus colchicus (ring-necked pheasant)
Lineage: Eukaryota; Metazoa; Chordata; Aves; Galliformes; Phasianidae
Description: lncRNA (ENSPCLG00000015079.1)
Source: RNAcentral
GGGUGGGGUUGGUUUUUUUUUUUGGGGGGGGGGGAUGAGAAAACAAAAUAAGAGGAGGGGAUCAGCUCUAGAACCCACUGACGACCCCAAACCCACUUCAUUAGCUCUAGAACCCAAAAUAAACCCAAAUUAAGCCCAGAACCCACCCAGAACCCCAAACCCACUGACAAUUCUAGAACUCACUGAUGACCCCAAACCCACUGUUAGCUCUAGAACCCCAAAUUAACUCCAGAACCCCAAAUCAGCCCAAUGAAGGCCACAACUCACCUAGAACCCCAAACCCACCAACAACUCUAGAACCCACUGAUGACCCCAAACCCACUUCGUUAGGCUCUAGAACCCCAAAUUAACCCCAGAACCCCCAAAGAACCCCAAUGAAGCCCAGAACCCACCUAGAACCCCAAACCCACCAACACCUCUAGAACCCACAGAUGACCCCAGACCCACCGACAGCUCUAGAACCCAAUGACAACACCAAACUCACAUCGUUAGCUCCAGAACCCCAAAUUAACCCCAGAACACACCUAGAACCCCAAACCCCCCUGACAGCUCUAGAACCCAACGAUGACCCCAAACCCACUCCGUUAGCUCUAGAACCCCAAAUUAACCCCAGAACCCCCAAAUAACCCCAAAAUAAACCCAGAACCCACCUAGAACCCCACCCCCCAGCAGCUCUAGAACCCACCGACGACCCCAGGCCCACAUCGUUAGCUCUAGAACCCCAAAUUAACCCCAGAACUCCCAAUUAACCCCCAAUUAAGCCCCAACGUAGCCCCGAACCCCCCACCGAUCCCCUCCCCCCCCAUGACGUCACCCAGGCCCCGUCCCCGUGACGUCACUCCCCGCUCCGGCCUCACCGGGCUCCAUGAUGGCGGCGGUGGGCGAUGGGGGGGGGGGGGGGGGGGGGGGGGGAGGGGGCCGCCCUUCGCGCUCCUCCGCCGCCGGUGCAGCGCCGUCGCUCCCGGAAGUGCCGCCGUCACGUGAGCGAGGCUGCCGGGAAGGCCACGCCCCCUUUCGUUUCGUCGCACCGCCCCCCUCCGCUCCGUGCGCAUGCGCCGCCGGAAGCGGGAGUGGAAGGGGGAGCGGAGCGGAAGUGGGUGUGGCGAGAGGCGGAAGUGGGUGGGGAGAUGAGCGGAAGUGGCUGACGGCACCCGGAAGCGGCCGGCGAGGAGAUGGCGGAGGCGGCCGAGGUGUCGGAGGGCUGCCGCCUGCCCGUGCUGCGCCGUAACCAGGACAACGAGGAUGAGUGGCGUGAGUGGGGCGGGGCUUAGGAGGGGGCGGGGCUUUCGAGGGGCGGGGCUUGGGAGAGGUGG